UUUCUCUCUUCGCCUGCUGCCGUCCAUGUAAGAUGGGACUUGCUCCUCUUUGCCUUCCACCAUGAUUGUGAGGCUUCCUCAGCCACGUGGAACUAUGCCCUGACCUUCCGGGAAACCCUCGGUGAGAGGCCCACAGCCUCGCUUCUAGGGUCACCACCGCUUCUUCCAGUCUAGCCAAACAGCUCCUAGUACAGCUCAGAGCACCCUGCAAGGAGGGCACGUGUUAAAUCGAGGAGCACACAUGCUCCACGAGGAAUUCUUUGCUUUGAGGCCACGCACAGAGGUGGGUUCACUAUGAAGCUUGUGAAAUAAGCUUCAGGGCCCGCAUUUGCAUGGGCCACAGAGAGUCUGGGAGCUGCAGAAGGUUCAAGGGAAGAGGAGCCAUCACAAGCAGAAUAUUCUAGAAGGCAUUUCUGGCAAAUGGCCCAAAGAGGCCUCAGGAGAAAAGAACUUGAGUCUUCAAGGUAACCUGCGACUUUUUUGUCUCAUUAUAAAUAUCAACUUUCAUGCCUAAUUUUUAUAA
RNAcentral lists this non-coding RNA (523 nucleotides) under Pan troglodytes (chimpanzee). Lineage: Eukaryota; Metazoa; Chordata; Mammalia; Primates; Hominidae. The record is from RNAcentral.